AGUCACUGACAUUAGAUACCCCGGUAGUCCUAGCCGUAAACGAUACUCGCUAGGUGUCGGCCACGGUGCGACCGUUGUCGGUGCCGUAGGGAAGCCGUGAAGCGAGCCACCUGGGAAGUACGGCCGCAAGGCUGAAACUUAAAGGAAUUGGCGGGGGAGCACAACAACGGGUGGAGCUUGCGGUUUAAUUGGAUUCAACGCCGGAAAUCUUACCGGGACCGACAGCAACAUGAAGGCCAGGCUGAAGACUUUGCCGGAUUAGCUG
Molecule: ribosomal RNA, 265 nt
Filed under: uncultured archaeon
Lineage: Archaea
Description: partial 16S ribosomal RNA
Rfam family: Archaeal small subunit ribosomal RNA
Source: RNAcentral